Molecule: non-coding RNA, 107 nt
Organism: Coprinopsis sp. MPI-PUGE-AT-0042
Lineage: Eukaryota; Fungi; Basidiomycota; Agaricomycetes; Agaricales; Psathyrellaceae
Source: the annotation of a GenBank genome assembly
GACACCAUAGCCAAGUGGUUACGGCGACAGAUUAGAAUGGGGUUGACAAUAUUCGAGGAUUGAUCUGUUCCUCUUUGAGGGCGCAGGUUCGAAUCCUGCUGGUGUCG